CAGGUGUUGUGAGCAGGCUGGCCGGAGAGCGCUGUGGCGGCACGCACACGCACACGCACACGCUCACACAUACACGCCCUGCCAGACACGCACACACACACACACACACACACAGGCCAGGGGUGGAGGAGGAGGAGGGUAGUGUACAUGUACGUGUGUGCGUGUGUGUGUGUCGGUAUGCGGUUCUCGAUACGUACACGCGUUUGAUAGACACGACACGGAGGAGGUGGAAAUAACUGUGCGGUUUUGACCGAUAUUUUUGUACAAGGAAGAAAAAAAGUUAAUUAUAUGAUAAGAGUGACAUGACAUCUCAGUAAGAAAAAAAAAUAUAAAGUCUAAUAUCACUCUCCCAGAAAAUAAGGAGACGAGGAGAAAGGGAAAGAAGCGAAGAUAUAAGAGAAACACGAGAAAGGGUAAGAGGAUGAAUAGAUAAAAGAACACCCCAGAAAAUAAGGAGAAUAAGAGAAAAGGAAAGAAGAGAAGAUAUAAGAGAAACACGAGAAAGAGGAAGAGGAAAAACAAAUAAAAGACCAAUCCAGAAAAUAAGGAGAAUAAGAGAAAAGGAAAGAAGAGAAGAUAUAAGAGAAACACGAGAAAGAGGAAGAGGAAAAACAAAUAAAAGACCACUCCAGAAAAUAAGGAGAAUAAGAGAAAAGGAAAGAAGAGAAGAUAUAAGAGAAACACGAGAAAGAGGAAGAGGAAAAACAAAUAAAAGACCACUCCAGAAAAUAAGGAGAAUAAGAGAAAAGGAAAGAAGAGAAGAUAUAAGAGAAACACGAGAAAGAGGAAGAGGAAAAAGAAAUAAAAAGCAGGACUCAAGAGGAGAAACCAAUAGGCGCGUCUUCUUCAUUUCUCUCUUCUUCCAAAAUACGAAUGACAAUACAAACUUUAGAGAAACACGCUAUUUAGAAGAGGAGGAAGAAGAGAAGAAGAGGAAAAAACAAGAACAACAAGAAAGAGAAACUGCAGAUGGGUUUUCUCAUUCUCUCUUUUCCUCCAAAAAAGACAAUAAAGAAUAUCAAUAAUGCGGGUAAUAAAGGAGUAAGAAGAACACAAUAAAGAGGAUAAAAAGAGGAUGAAGAUAAGACAGUUUGCGUCUUUUUCUCUUCGCUCUUUCAAAACAGAACAAUAAGAACAUCGACAAUAAAGAACUAGGAAAAAAUAUAGGAAAAGGAGAAUGAGAUAAGUAGGAAAAGUAACAAAAAAAAGAUUAAAAGGAAAACGGAGAAAAAAAGAGAGAAAGAAAGAUACGUCAGUCUGUGCCCAUUUCUCCUCUCUCACUCCACGUCAUGAGGGUUCUCCACAACGCCCUCCCCCCCCUGGUGCUGCUGCUGUUGCUGUUGUUGCUGCUGUUGUGCGUGAAGGCAACACUGCAAACCCCGGAGGAAGAGAGAGUAUCUAGAGUCCGGGUUGGUGGGCGGUCUUCAGCGGCGGGCGGGACGGGAGCCCGGGUCUCCCUGGACGCCGCGCCCGCACGCUAACCACUCAGCCACCGCAUCCCCUUAGCUUUUCUUCAUUUUUUUUUUAGCUGAAUGUGGUGAUGCAUAUUAUGGUGAUGGUGUUAUGUUUGUUAUGGAUUUGUUGCUUCAUAAUAUUGGUGUUAAAUUUGUUAUCUUUGUGAUUUGUAAGUUAUUUUGGGGUGCUGUAUUGUUUUGCUAUAUUUUAUGGUGAGUUCUAUUUUCUCUGUUGGUUUAAAUUAUAUAUUUUUUGUAUUGGUUUUGUUCUUAAUUUUGUUGUUAUUUAUAUCACUGCUCUUGUUGUUUUAUUGUUAUCAUCAGUAUUAUCCUCUAUUUACUUUUACCCUCUUCCGCCCUCCCUCCCAUACUUUUGCUCUCUCCCUCACUUCAUCCCUUCUUCCCUAACUUAGUCUGACCAACAUUAUUUUUCAUUACUGCUAUAAGCCUUUUUGUUAAUAGUGUUGCUGUUUCCCGUGCUAUUGCUGCCGUUGGUGGUAAAUACA
This is a long non-coding RNA of Eriocheir sinensis (Chinese mitten crab), 1960 nucleotides long. RefSeq lists it as uncharacterized. The transcript is spliced from 3 exons. The record is from RefSeq and is a predicted model, not a curated record. Lineage: Eukaryota; Metazoa; Arthropoda; Malacostraca; Decapoda; Varunidae.